UGGAGGCAGCAGUAAGGAAUAUUGCACAAUGGGCGAAAGCCUGAUGCAGCAACGCCGCGUGCGCGAUGAAGGCCUUCGGGUCGUAAAGCGCUUUUCUGGGAGAUGAGAAAGGACAGUAUCCCAGGAAUAAGUCUCGGCUAACUACGUGCCAGCAGCCGCGGUAAAACGUAGGAGGCGAGCGUUAUCCGGAUUCACUGGGCGUAAAGCGCGUGCAGGCGGUUCGGUAAGUUGGGCGUGAAAUCUCCCGGCUCAACUGGGAGAGGUCGUUCAAUACUACCGGACUCGAGAGCGAUAGAGGAAAAUGGAAUUCCCGGUGUAGUGGUGAAAUGCGUAGAUAUCGGGAGGAACACCAGUGGCGAAAGCGGUUUUCUGGAUCGUUUCUGACGCUCAGACGCGAAAGCUAGGGUAGCAAACGGGAUUAGAUACCCCGGUAGUCCC
This 438-nucleotide ribosomal RNA is filed under the name uncultured bacterium. RNAcentral's name for it is "bacterial SSU rRNA". It matches the Rfam family "Bacterial small subunit ribosomal RNA", at positions 343 to 797 of the family's 1533-position model. The record is from RNAcentral.